UUCAUUUGUAACUCUCUUGUUCAAAGGGUCUCAGUGCUGCUGUUUUGGACCCAGUGCGAUUACUAUGUUCACACCUGCACAAACAAACCGCGCCAAGGGGGAAAACAGAUUAAAUACCGAAGGUGUGAAAACACCAUGAGAUAUAUUGGAGAGUUCAGAUAAUGGGAGGGAAAUUGGAGCAGAGUCACUACUUCAUUGUGUCAAAAGGAGCGAAAAGAUUAAAAGCUCCAACUCUAAAAAGUUCUCAUUGUAACCUGAAGCCAAGUGAGGAAGAUACAAAGUGAUAGAAACGCUCCUGUUGAAUUCUAUUCGUAAGGCUCUUCUUCUUCACAAGCUCAAGAAAAACGUUUGUUGGUCAAUUUCAUGACUUUUUAGACCUGGGGAUUAGGGCUGGGACAACGCGUCGACGUAAUCGAUUACGUCGACGCAAAAAAUACGUCGACGUAAAAAAAUCUGCGUCGAUGCGUCGUCACUUUCAAAAAAAGACAUGGCGGCAGCGAGUAGCGAAAUCAUGAGUGAGGCAGUUGCAGUCAACUUAAAUCACUCCACCCGAACACGCAGUUCUACAGUAUGGGGAUAUUUUAACAGAAAAGGAAGUGAUUCAGUCGUCUGCCGGCUUUGUGAGGUGGAAAUGGCCUAUCAUAAAAGCACGACGGCUAUGCACCAGCACCUCAAACGACUGCAUCCAGGAGCAGCUUCUGCAAAGGACAAACCACCGAAUAAACAGAAAAGUCUGGAGGACUACUGUCAGAGAAGAAGUACACCAUGCACCCCCCAGGAGGUGGCUGUACUUACUGAGAGCGUCUUAGCUAUGAUUUUAAAAGACAAGAGACCACUUGCUGUGGGUGAGGGAUUCAAAGAAAUGCUGACCACUUUCCAACCAGGUUACACUCUGCUGUCUAAGCGUCAUUUUACAAGCAUGAUGGAGAGAAAGUAUGAAACUUCAGUGGAGAAACUAAGCAAUGAACUAAAAAAAGCCACAUCCAAAAUCUCCCUUACCACUGAUGCUUGGACAAGUCUGGUCACAGAGUCCUACUUAGGGGUAACUUGUCAUUUCAUUAUUUGUUCAAAGACGCCAUUGCUGCUGUUUGUAUAUUAUUAAUUUUUUGCUAUGAUUUCCUUUGUUAUAUUUGUUUUGCAAAACAUUUAAUUUUUUGUUAAAAACAGAAGAUUGCAGCACAAUGUUAUUGUGGAUUUUAUUUUGUGAAUGAACAGCACUUUUUGGCAGAAAGCAAAGUGAAUGUUACAUUUUGUUUGUUUAAAGACACCAUUGUUGCUAUUUAUUUGAAAUGUUUUGUUAACUUUUCCUUAAUUUUAUAUAUGUUUGCACAUUUCAUUUCUUGUUAAAUGCUAUCUCUAUUGUAUUGAUUGUACGACCUCUACAACUUUAUUUUGCAAUUGUUUUUUUAUUAAAAGGUCUUCAAAUGAA
Molecule: long non-coding RNA, 1429 nt
Organism: Astatotilapia calliptera (eastern happy)
Lineage: Eukaryota; Metazoa; Chordata; Actinopteri; Cichliformes; Cichlidae
Source: Ensembl